UGGGGAAUCUUGCACAAUGGGGGAAACCCUGAUGCAGCGACGCCGCGUGAGUGAUGAAGCCCUUCGGGGUGUAAAGCUCUUUCGACAGGAACGAUAAUGACGGUACCUGGAGAAGAAGCUGCGGCUAACUACGUGCCAGCAGCCGCGGUAAUACGUAGGCAGCAAACGUUGUUCGGAGUUACUGGGCGUAAAGAGUGCGUAGGCGGUUUGCCAAGUCUGGUGUGAAAUCUCCUGGCUUAACUGGGAGGGUGCGCCGGAUACUGGCAGGCUUGAGUGUGGGAGAGGAAAGCAGAAUUCCUGGUGUAGCGGUGAAAUGCGCAGAUAUUAGGAGGAACACCGGUGGCGAAGGCGCCGCUCUGGGCCGAAACUGACGCUGAGGAGCGAAAGCAUGGGUAGCAAACAGGAUUAGAUACCCGCGUAGUCCCUGAGCGGGCUGGCAAGGCGCAU
This 447-nucleotide ribosomal RNA is filed under the name uncultured bacterium. RNAcentral describes it as "bacterial SSU rRNA". It matches the Rfam family "Bacterial small subunit ribosomal RNA", at positions 355 to 825 of the family's 1533-position model. The record is from RNAcentral.